CGUGUAGGCGGAUACGCAAGUCGGGUGUGAAAGCCCCGGGCUCAACCUGGGAACUGCAUUCGAAACUGCGUAUCUCGAGUACUGGAGAGGGAAGCGGAAUUCCCGGUGUAGAGGUGAAAUUCGUAGAUAUCGGGAGGAACACCAGUGGCGAAGGCGGCUUCCUGGACAGUCACUGACGCUGAGACGCGAAAGCGUGGGGAGCAAACA
RNAcentral lists this ribosomal RNA (207 nucleotides) under uncultured bacterium. RNAcentral describes it as "partial 16S ribosomal RNA". It matches the Rfam family "Bacterial small subunit ribosomal RNA", at positions 568 to 774 of the family's 1533-position model. The record is from RNAcentral.